This 1008-nucleotide ribosomal RNA is filed under the name Samsoniella tortricidae. RNAcentral's name for it is "SSU rRNA". It matches the Rfam family "Eukaryotic small subunit ribosomal RNA", at positions 47 to 1066 of the family's 1831-position model. The record is from RNAcentral. Lineage: Eukaryota; Fungi; Ascomycota; Sordariomycetes; Hypocreales; Cordycipitaceae.
AGCCAUGCAUGUCUAAGUAUAAGCAAUUAUACAGCGAAACUGCGAAUGGCUCAUUAUAUAAGUUAUCGUUUAUUUGAUAGUACCUUACUACUUGGAUAACCGUGGUAAUUCUAGAGCUAAUACAUGCUAAAAAUCCCGACUUCGGAAGGGAUGUAUUUAUUAGAUUAAAAACCAAUGCCCUCUGGGCUCCUUGGUGAUUCAUAAUAACUUUUCGAAUCGCAUGGCCUUGCGCCGGCGAUGGUUCAUUCAAAUUUCUUCCCUAUCAACUUUCGAUGUUUGGGUAUUGGCCAAACAUGGUCGCAACGGGUAACGGAGGGUUAGGGCUCGACCCCGGAGAAGGAGCCUGAGAAACGGCUACUACAUCCAAGGAAGGCAGCAGGCGCGCAAAUUACCCAAUCCCGAUUCGGGGAGGUAGUGACAAUAAAUACUGAUACAGGGCUCUUUUGGGUCUUGUAAUUGGAAUGAGUACAAUUUAAAUCCCUUAACGAGGAACAAUUGGAGGGCAAGUCUGGUGCCAGCAGCCGCGGUAAUUCCAGCUCCAAUAGCGUAUAUUAAAGUUGUUGUGGUUAAAAAGCUCGUAGUUGAACCUUGGGCCUGGCUGGCCGGUCCGCCUCACCGCGUGUACUGGUCCGGCCGGGCCUUUCCCUCUGUGGAACCUCAUGCCCUUCACUGGGUGUGGCGGGGAAACAGGACUUUUACUUUGAAAAAAUUAGAGUGCUCCAGGCAGGCCUAUGCUCGAAUACAUUAGCAUGGAAUAAUGAAAUAGGACGUGUGGUUCUAUUUUGUUGGUUUCUAGGACCGCCGUAAUGAUUAAUAGGGACAGUCGGGGGCAUCAGUAUUCAAUUGUCAGAGGUGAAAUUCUUGGAUUUAUUGAAGACUAACUACUGCGAAAGCAUUUGCCAAGGAUGUUUUCAUUAAUCAGGAACGAAAGUUAGGGGAUCGAAGACGAUCAGAUACCGUCGUAGUCUUAACCAUAAACUAUGCCGACUAGGGAUCGGACGAUGUUAU